RNAcentral lists this ribosomal RNA (469 nucleotides) under Paenibacillus sp. R-45815. RNAcentral describes it as "bacterial SSU rRNA". It matches the Rfam family "Bacterial small subunit ribosomal RNA", at positions 22 to 470 of the family's 1533-position model. Lineage: Bacteria; Bacillati; Bacillota; Bacilli; Caryophanales; Paenibacillaceae. The record is from RNAcentral.
GCUCAGGACGAACGCUGGCGGCGUGCCUAAUACAUGCAAGUCGAGCGGGGUURWUUAGAAGCUUGCUUCUAAWYAACCUAGCGGCGGACGGGUGAGUAACACGUAGGCAACCUGCCCACAAGACAGGGAUAACUACCGGAAACGGUAGCUAAUACCCGAUACAUCCUUUUCCUGCAUGGGAGAAGGAGGAAAGACGGAGCAAUCUGUCACUUGUGGAUGGGCCUGCGGCGCAUUAGCUAGUUGGUGGGGUAAAGGCCUACCAAGGCGACGAUGCGUAGCCGACCUGAGAGGGUGAUCGGCCACACUGGGACUGAGACACGGCCCAGACUCCUACGGGAGGCAGCAGUAGGGAAUCUUCCGCAAUGGGCGAAAGCCUGACGGAGCAACGCCGCGUGAGUGAUGAAGGUUUUCGGAUCGUAAAGCUCUGUUGCCAGGGAAGAACGUCUUGUAGAGUAACUGCUACAAGAGU